Entelurus aequoreus (snake pipefish) is the source of this 832-nucleotide long non-coding RNA. RefSeq lists it as uncharacterized. NCBI's taxonomy places the organism in Eukaryota, Metazoa, Chordata, Actinopteri, Syngnathiformes, Syngnathidae. The transcript is spliced from 4 exons. The record is from RefSeq and is a predicted model, not a curated record.
CAGUAGGUGGCGGUAAUGCACACCAGAAGGUUGCUUGCCAACCUGCUAUAAAAACAAAAGAAGAAGAAGAAGAUCCACACUUCCGGGUGGUGAUGACGUCGCGUCGUGACGUCAUAUUUCAAAAUGGCAGAGCCCGCGGAAAGACCCCCUGGAGUCGACUCCAUUUCCCAAGAAAAGAUGUCAACAGCGCGACUUGUAACAAUUAUAAGGCCGAGGAGGGUUAUUUGAACACACACCAUUCAAUUAUUAUAAAUGAAAGUCACGUUUUUUUUAACCGCUCCGGUCUCGUCCCAGCGGAAGUGACGCUAGCACGUCAUCAGAAUACAACAGAUCAACACGACGAGAGAGACAUUCUGCCGCUAGACGAAGGUCACCGAGCAGCGACGAAGUUUGCAUUUUCGAGGUCCAGGGAGCCACGAGGGCGGUGCUAAAGAGACGCGGGUUGCUGACCCCCGGCCUACACCCUAGACUGGCCGCCAGUUCAUCACAGGACACAUGAACAAGCCUUCGCCCUCAAAUCAGAGAAAAACAACAACACCAGAAAUGUGUCCCGUGAAAAACCGUCCGACCAGAACUCUAAUAACUAAAGUUCCUUGGGUGAAUAAUGGUAACUCACUACACCGGUAUGUUUUAGGGCUUUCAUGGCGAGUUUACUGACUGAAAUAAGUAAUAACUUUACACUGCUUUUUAUUAGAAAUGGCAACAGCAGAGGAUGGAUGUCCCAUAACAAGAAGGUGGAGAAAAAGAAGAAGCUUAUCGACUACGGUGUCGGCACGGACUACAAAGGCGGACCUGCACAAAUUUUCAGGUACCAGAAGGUAAGAAAAGUUUC